GAAAGCAGGUGAGCUUUUGCCAACUAAAUCAGGCGGAGAAUUCAAUCUCCUCGUUUCUAUCGGACCCAACCCCCCACCUUCUCCAUUCUUAAAAACACCCAUCUUUCUCUACAUUCACAGCAUUCCUCAUUCUCAUUCUCUCUUUUCCUUCUCCUUUGGAUCUCAACAAUGGAGGCCGCAUUGCCUGUCCACAAAUCUAUUCUCACUACUCCAAAAUCUCCUGGUUUGUUUAUGAGGAGAAAUGGCAGUAUUAGAGGAAUUAAAGGGAGUUCUCAAUGCAGUUUUAUGGUUGGAACCAAGCUUAACUUUCAAAGACAAAAGCUUUUUAUUCAGUCUGCUGCCAAAGUUACCCAUAAGGAAGGUGGUGGUGGUGGUGCUGCUCUUAGGGUCUCGUGUCGAGCUGAGAAAAUAUUGAUAGCAAAUAGAGGAGAAAUUGCGGUCCGUGUAAUUAGAACUGCUCAUGAAUUGGGAAUACCUUGUGUUGCUGUUUAUUCUACUAUUGAUAAGGAUGCUCUUCAUGUUAAAUUAGCUGAUGAGUCUGUCUGCAUUGGUGAAGCACCGAGCAGUCAGUCCUACUUGUUGAUUCCAAAUGUUUUAUCCGCUGCUAUCAGUCGCGGGUGUACAAUGUUGCACCCCGGAUAUGGCUUUCUUGCUGAAAAUGCAGUUUUUGUUGAAAUGUGCAAAGAACAUGGGAUCAACUUUAUUGGCCCAAACCCUGACAGUAUCCGAGUAAUGGGUGACAAAUCAACUGCCAGGGAAACUAUGAAGAAUGCAGGUGUUCCGACUGUACCUGGGAGUGAAGGUCUGCUACAGAGCACAGAAGAAGCAGUGAAGCUUGCCCAUGAGAUUGGCUUUCCUGUGAUGAUCAAGGCGACAGCAGGUGGUGGAGGCCGUGGAAUGCGUCUUGCUAAAGAGCCCGGCGAGUUUGUAAAGUUGCUACAGCAAGCUAAGAGUGAGGCUGCUGCAGCAUUUGGAAAUGAUGGAGUGUAUUUGGAGAAAUACAUUCAGAAUCCAAGGCACAUUGAAUUCCAGGUUCUUGCAGAUAAAUAUGGUAAUGUUGUUCACUUCGGUGAACGUGACUGCAGCAUCCAGAGGCGUAAUCAGAAGCUGCUCGAAGAGGCACCCUCUCCUGCAUUGACUCCUGAAUUGCGGAAAGCUAUGGGUGAUGCUGCAGUUGCAGCAGCAGCAUCAAUAGGAUAUAUUGGUGUUGGGACAGUUGAGUUCCUUUUGGAUGAAAGAGGUUCCUUCUACUUCAUGGAAAUGAACACUCGAAUCCAGGUUGAGCAUCCUGUUACAGAAAUGAUAUCCUCUGUUGACUUGAUUGAGGAGCAAAUUCGUGUAGCCAUGGGAGAAAAGCUCCGGUACAGACAGGAAGAUAUUGUGCUUAGAGGACAUUCAAUUGAAUGCCGUAUCAAUGCAGAAGAUGCUUUUAAGGGAUUCCGACCUGGGCCAGGGAGAAUAACAGCAUACUUACCAUCUGGAGGCCCAUUUGUUAGAAUGGAUAGCCAUGUCUACCCUGAUUAUGUGGUUCCUCCAAGUUAUGAUUCCCUACUGGGAAAGCUUAUCGUGUGGGCUCCAACAAGAGAAAAGGCAAUCGAACGCAUGAAAAGAGCACUGGAUGACACAAUUAUUACAGGAGUUCCUACGACGAUAGAAUACCAUAAACUUAUCCUCGACAUUGAGGACUUCAAAAAUGGGAAGGUUGACACUGCUUUCAUUCCAAAGCAUGAGCAGGAAUUACAGGCGCCACAGAAGAUUGUACCGGUCAAAGAACUGGCCAGCGCAACCGCAUAGACUGAUCACUGCGAAGGGCAAAAAAGAAAAACAAAAUGUUCAACCCAUUUCAGUCACAUUUGAAAGCCAGGCUCAAUUUGAUCCUUUUUUAAAAAUGCAACGGCUCCUGGUGCAAUAGCAAGCACCAAUUUGACUUGGGGAGUGGCGAUUUAGUGGCAGUGGGUGGCAAGGUUGCUUUGUGAGUAAACAAAUAUAAAAAAAAGCUUUCUCCGGGUCUAAUGAGAAAGCAUUCGUUCACGUCAGGCAAUGUAAUUGUUGACGUAGUUGCUUGUACUUUUCUUUUUUUUCGAGAUUGGGUUGGUGUGGAUUUUAUGGUACAUCUAAAAAUUAUUUUGGAGCC
RNA transcript from Ricinus communis (castor bean), 2134 nucleotides. It is a transcript of the gene named biotin carboxylase 2, chloroplastic, with no coding region annotated. Lineage: Eukaryota; Viridiplantae; Streptophyta; Magnoliopsida; Malpighiales; Euphorbiaceae. The record is from RefSeq and is a predicted model, not a curated record. The transcript has 17 exons.